CCUACGGGAGGCAGCAGUGGGGAAUUUUGGACAAUGGGCGCAAGCCUGAUCCAGCCAUGCCGCGUGCGGGAAGAAGGCCUUCGGGUUGUAAACCGCUUUUGUCAGGGAAGAAAAGGUUCUGGUUAAUACCUGGGACUCAUGACGGUACCUGAAGAAUAAGCACCGGCUAACUACGUGCCAGCAGCCGCGGUAAUACGUAGGGUGCAAGCGUUAAUCGGAAUUACUGGGCGUAAAGCGUGCGCAGGCGGUUAUGCAAGACAGAGGUGAAAUCCCCGGGCUCAACCUGGGAACUGCCUUUGUGACUGCAUAGCUAGAGUGCGGCAGAGGGGGAUGGAAUUCCGCGUGUAGCAGUGAAAUGCGUAGAUAUGCGGAGGAACACCGAUGGCGAAGGCAAUCCCCUGGGCCUGCACUGACGCUCAUGCACGAAAGCGUGGGGAGCAAACAGGAUUAGAUACCCUGGUAGUCCACGCCCUAAACGAUGUCAACUGGUUGUUGGGAGGGUUUCUUCUCAGUAACGUAGCUAACGCGUGAAGUUGACCGCCUGGGGAGUCGGCCGCAAGGUUGAAACUCAAAUGAAUUGACGGCGNGAGACGUGCGACGGACGACGACGAGGGAGGAGG
RNAcentral lists this ribosomal RNA (620 nucleotides) under uncultured bacterium. RNAcentral's name for it is "bacterial SSU rRNA". It matches the Rfam family "Bacterial small subunit ribosomal RNA", at positions 338 to 954 of the family's 1533-position model. The record is from RNAcentral.